UUAGUUACCAAGGCGAUGUAUAAUGUACCGUGGAAUCCCAGAUAUCAAAAAAAGCAUUAUAGAUAUUGGGCUGUUGUUUUUUGUAUUCUGGCUUUACUAAUACUUACAUUAUUUCUAUUGGCCAAGCGCCCACCAGAAGUCUGCACAGACUUCGAAGUCCUCUGUUUGGAAGAUGGGGACUUAUGAAGACGCUCAAGAUGCUAUAAUUCUUCUACCAUGCUACCAUAUAAUAAUAAACAUUUGCUGAAUGUUGUCUUAAGUUGA
Molecule: long non-coding RNA, 264 nt
Organism: Drosophila grimshawi
Lineage: Eukaryota; Metazoa; Arthropoda; Insecta; Diptera; Drosophilidae
Exons: 2
Source: RefSeq, a predicted model, not a curated record